This 254-nucleotide ribosomal RNA is filed under the name uncultured bacterium. RNAcentral's name for it is "partial 16S ribosomal RNA". It matches the Rfam family "Bacterial small subunit ribosomal RNA", at positions 524 to 776 of the family's 1533-position model. The record is from RNAcentral.
UACGUAGGGCGCAAGCGUUAUCCGGAAUUAUUGGGCGUAAAGAGCUCGUAGGCGGUUCGAUAAGUCGGGUGUGAAAACUCUGGGCUCAACUCAGAGACGCCACCCGAUACUGUUGUGACUUGAGUCCGGUAGGGGAGUAUGGAAUUCCCGGUGUAGCGGUGAAAUGCGCAGAUAUCGGGAGGAACACCAGUGGCGAAGGCGGUACUCUGGGCCGGAACUGACGCUGAGGAGCGAAAGCGUGGGUAGCGAACAGG